CCUACGGGACGCAGCAGUGGGGAAUAUUGCACAAUGGGGGAAACCCUGAUGCAGCGACGCCGCGUGAGCGAUGAAGUAUUUCGGUAUGUAAAGCUCUAUCAGCAGGGAAGAAAAUGACGGUACCUGACUAAGAAGCCCCGGCUAACUAUGUGCAAGCAGCCGCGGCAAUACGUAGGGGGCAAGCGUUAUCCGGAUUUACUGGGUGUAAAGGGAGCGUAGACGGCUUGGCAAGCAAGAUGUGAAAGGCUGGGGCCCAACCCCAGGACUGCAUU
This 272-nucleotide ribosomal RNA is filed under the name uncultured bacterium. Its description in RNAcentral is "partial 16S ribosomal RNA". It matches the Rfam family "Bacterial small subunit ribosomal RNA", at positions 338 to 627 of the family's 1533-position model. The record is from RNAcentral.